Non-coding RNA from Brachypodium distachyon (stiff brome), 125 nucleotides. The record is from Rfam. Lineage: Eukaryota; Viridiplantae; Streptophyta; Magnoliopsida; Poales; Poaceae.
GACAUACUCCCUCCGUUUCAUAAUUCUUGUCGAAAUAUUACAUGUAUCUAGACACUUUUUAGGAAUAGAUACAUAAAUUUUCGGGAAAAUUUGAGACAAGAAUUAUGAAACGGAGGGAGUAAUAU